GAUCCUGGCUCAGGAUGAACGCUAGCGGCAGGCCUAACACAUGCAAGUCGAGGGGCAGCACGGUGUAGCAAUACACUGGUGGCGACCGGCGCACGGGUGCGUAACGCGUAUGCAACCUACCCAUAACAGGGGGGAUAACACUGAGAAAUUGGUACUAAUACCCCAUAACAUCAGGACCGGCAUCGGUUUGGUUGAAAACUCCGGUGGUUAUGGAUGGGCAUGCGUUGUAUUAGCUGGUUGGUGAGGUAACGGCUCACCAAGGCAACGAUACAUAGGGGGACUGAGAGGUUAACCCCCCACAUUGGUACUGAGACACGGACCAAACUCCUACGGGAGGCAGCAGUGAGGAAUAUUGGUCAAUGGACGCAAGUCUGAACCAGCCAUGCCGCGUGCAGGAAGACGGCUCUAUGAGUUGUAAACUGCUUUUGUACGAGGGUAAACGCUCUUACGUGUAAGAGCCUGAAAGUAUCGUACGAAUAAGGAUCGGCUAACUCCGUG
Molecule: ribosomal RNA, 498 nt
Filed under: uncultured bacterium
Lineage: Bacteria
Description: bacterial SSU rRNA
Rfam family: Bacterial small subunit ribosomal RNA
Source: RNAcentral